Molecule: ribosomal RNA, 253 nt
Filed under: uncultured bacterium
Lineage: Bacteria
Description: partial 16S ribosomal RNA
Rfam family: Bacterial small subunit ribosomal RNA
Source: RNAcentral
UACAGAGGUCCCAAGCGUUGUUCGGAUUCAUUGGGCGUAAAGGGUGCGUAGGCGGCGCGGUAAGUCGGGUGUGAAAUCUCGGGGCUUAACUCCGAAACUGCAUUCGAUACUGCCGUGCUUGAGGACUGGAGAGGAGACUGGAAUUUACGGUGUAGCGGUGAAAUGCGUAGAUAUCGUAAGGAAGACCAGUGGCGAAGGCGGGUCUCUAGUACGGUACUGACGCUGAGACGCGAAAGCGUGGGGAGCGAACAGG